RNAcentral lists this non-coding RNA (149 nucleotides) under unclassified sequences. RNAcentral describes it as "RT-14 RNA". It matches the Rfam family "RT-14 RNA". Rfam says of the family: Cloacimonetes, Firmicutes, Proteobacteria. Nearby to self-splicing intron genes The record is from Rfam by way of RNAcentral.
CUCUAAUAUUAUUCCAGAAUAUAUAUUUCAAGGAAUAUAUACAGUGAAGUAUUAGAUAUUAAAGAGGUUUAUUCCUUCCUACUAUAGGUAAAAAAGAAGCAAUAAGAUAUGUGUUAGUAAAUAUUAAAUAUUGAAAAUACGUAUAUUAU